RNAcentral lists this ribosomal RNA (745 nucleotides) under Cronobacter sakazakii. RNAcentral describes it as "partial 23S ribosomal RNA". It matches the Rfam family "Bacterial large subunit ribosomal RNA", at positions 1 to 788 of the family's 2925-position model. Lineage: Bacteria; Pseudomonadati; Pseudomonadota; Gammaproteobacteria; Enterobacterales; Enterobacteriaceae. The record is from RNAcentral.
GGUUAAGCGAACAAGCGUACACGGUGGAUGCCCUGGCAGUCAGAGGCGAUGAAGGACGUGCUAAUCUGCGAAAAGCGCCGGUAAGGUGAUAUGAACCGUUAUAACCGGCGAUGUCCGAAUGGGGAAACCCGGUGCACUUCGGUGCAUCAUCGUUAGCUGAAUACAUAGGCUAACGAGGCGAACCGGGGGAACUGAAACAUCUAAGUACCCCGAGGAAAAGAAAUCAACCGAGAUUCCCCCAGUAGCGGCGAGCGAACGGGGAACAGCCCAGAGCCUGAAUCAGUUUGUGUGUCAGUGGAACGGUCUGGAAAGGCCGGCGAUACAGGGUGACAGCCCCGUACACGAAGGCACACAGGUUGUGAGCUCGAUGAGUAGGGCGGGACACGUGAUAUCCUGUCUGAAGAUGGGGGGACCAUCCUCCAAGGCUAAAUACUCCUGACUGACCGAUAGUGAACCAGUACCGUGAGGGAAAGGCGAAAAGAACCCCGGCGAGGGGAGUGAAACAGAACCUGAAACCGUGUACGUACAAGCAGUGGGAGCCUUCGUAAGAGGGUGACUGCGUACCUUUUGUAUAAUGGGUCAGCGACUUAUAUUCUGUAGCAAGGUUAACCGUAUAGGGGAGCCGAAGGGAAACCGAGUCUUAAUUGGGCGUUAAGUUGCAGGGUAUAGACCCGAAACCCGGUGAUCUAGCCAUGGGCAGGUUGAAGGUUGGGUAACACUAACUGGAGGACCGAACCGACUAAGG